This 277-nucleotide long non-coding RNA is filed under the name Marmota monax (woodchuck). The record is from RNAcentral. Lineage: Eukaryota; Metazoa; Chordata; Mammalia; Rodentia; Sciuridae.
AUUUGUGCUUCCUUUGAAUUUGUCUUCUCAGGGUUCUUCCUUUCCAUGCAGACUGAAGCACCAGUACUGCAUGAUGGAGUUCAACAUACUCCAUACGUUGUUUCUUUCCUAUAGCCCAUGCUCUUAGAUGUUGCUGGAUGAUUAAUGCUGCUGAUUUUAACAAUCUGAAUUGUUUCUGGGCCUUGUUCAUUCUAAAAGUAGACUGAAUCUUGAUUGCAGCUUGAUGUUCCCUUCUGAUCUGCUGCCGGACUUUCCAGCCUCGAUAAGCAGACUGAAG